CCUACGGGAGGCAGCAGUAGGGAAUCUUGCACAAUGGGCGAAAGCCUGAUGCAGCAACGCCGCGUGGGUGAAGAAGGUCUUCGGGUCGUAAAACCCUGUUGUUGGGGCAGAAAGUGCGUGAGAGCAACUGUUCACGUUUCGACGGUAUCUAACCAGCAAGCGACGGCUAACUACGUGCCAGCAGCCGCGGUAAUACGUAGGGGGCAAGCGUUAUCCGGAGUUGUUGGGCGUAAAGGGUACGUAGGCGGUCUUUUAAGUCUGAUGUGAAAGCCUUCGGCUUAACCGGAGGACUGCAUUGGAAACUGGGAGGCUUGAGUGCGGAAGAGGAGAGUGGAACUCCAUGUGUAGCGGUGAAAUGCGUAGAUAUAUGGAGGAACACCAGUGGCGAAAGCGGUUCUCUGGUCUGUAAUUGACGCUGAGGUUCGAAAGCGUGGGUAGCAAACAGGAUUAGAUACCCUGGUAGUC
RNAcentral lists this ribosomal RNA (465 nucleotides) under uncultured bacterium. RNAcentral describes it as "partial 16S ribosomal RNA". It matches the Rfam family "Bacterial small subunit ribosomal RNA", at positions 338 to 795 of the family's 1533-position model. The record is from RNAcentral.